GGGUUGUGAGGUUAAGCGACUAAGCGUACACGGUGGAUGCCCUGGCAGUCAGAGGCGAUGAAGGACGUGCUAAUCUGCGAUAAGCGUCGGUGAGGUGAUAUGAACCGUUAUAACCGGCGAUUUCCGAAUGGGGAAACCCAGUGUGUUUCGACACACUAUCAUUAACUGAAUCCAUAGGUUAAUGAGGCGAACCGGGGGAACUGAAACAUCUAAGUACCCCGAGGAAAAGAAAUCAACCGAGAUUCCCCCAGUAGCGGCGAGCGAACGGGGAGGAGCCCAGAGCCUGAAUCAGUGUGUGUGUUAGUGGAAGCGUCUGGAAAGGCGCGCGAUACAGGGUGACAGCCCCGUACACAAAAAUGCACAUAUUGUGAGCUCGAUGAGUAGGGCGGGACACGUGGUAUCCUGUCUGAAUAUGGGGGACCAUCCUCCAAGGCUAAAUACUCCUGACUGACCGAUAGUGAACCAGUACCGUGAGGGAAAGGCGAAAAGAACCCCGGCGAGGGGAGUGAAAAAGAACCUGAAACCGUGUACGUACAAGCAGUGGGAGCCUCUUAAUGGGGUGACUGCGUACCUUUUGUAUAAUGGGUCAGCGACUUAUAUUCUGUAGCAAGGUUAACCGAAUAGGGGAGCCGAAGGGAAACCGAGUCUUAACUGGGCGUUAAGUUGCAGGGUAUAGACCCGAAACCCGGUGAUCUAGCCAUGGGCAGGUUGAAGGUUGGGUAACACUAACUGGAGGACCGAACCGACUAAUGUUGAAAAAUUAGCGGAUGACUUGUGGCUGGGGGUGAAAGGCCAAUCAAACCGGGAGAUAGCUGGUUCUCCCCGAAAGCUAUUUAGGUAGCGCCUCGUGAAUUCAUCUCCGGGGGUAGAGCACUGUUUCGGCAAGGGGGUCAUCCCGACUUACCAACCCGAUGCAAACUGCGAAUACCGGAGAAUGUUAUCACGGGAGACACACGGCGGGUGCUAACGUCCGUCGUGAAGAGGGAAACAACCCAGACCGCCAGCUAAGGUCCCAAAGUCAUGGUUAAGUGGGAAACGAUGUGGGAAGGCCCAGACAGCCAGGAUGUUGGCUUAGAAGCAGCCAUCAUUUAAAGAAAGCGUAAUAGCUCACUGGUCGAGUCGGCCUGCGCGGAAGAUGUAACGGGGCUAAACCAUGCACCGAAGCUGCGGCAGCGACACUAUGUGUUGUUGGGUAGGGGAGCGUUCUGUAAGCCUGUGAAGGUGUACUGUGAGGUAUGCUGGAGGUAUCAGAAGUGCGAAUGCUGACAUAAGUAACGAUAAAGCGGGUGAAAAGCCCGCUCGCCGGAAGACCAAGGGUUCCUGUCCAACGUUAAUCGGGGCAGGGUGAGUCGACCCCUAAGGCGAGGCCGAAAGGCGUAGUCGAUGGGAAACAGGUUAAUAUUCCUGUACUUGGUGUUACUGCGAAGGGGGGACGGAGAAGGCUAUGUUGGCCGGGCGACGGUUGUCCCGGUUUAAGCGUGUAGGCUGGUUUUCCAGGCAAAUCCGGAAAAUCAAGGCUGAGGCGUGAUGACGAGGCACUACGGUGCUGAAGCGACAAAUGCCCUGCUUCCAGGAAAAGCCUCUAAGCAUCAGGUAACAUCAAAUCGUACCCCAAACCGACACAGGUGGUCAGGUAGAGAAUACCAAGGCGCUUGAGAGAACUCGGGUGAAGGAACUAGGCAAAAUGGUGCCGUAACUUCGGGAGAAGGCACGCUGAUAUGUAGGUGAAGCGACUUGCUCGUGGAGCUGAAAUCAGUCGAAGAUACCAGCUGGCUGCAACUGUUUAUUAAAAACACAGCACUGUGCAAACACGAAAGUGGACGUAUACGGUGUGACGCCUGCCCGGUGCCGGAAGGUUAAUUGAUGGGGUUAGCGGUAACGCGAAGCUCUUGAUCGAAGCCCCGGUAAACGGCGGCCGUAACUAUAACGGUCCUAAGGUAGCGAAAUUCCUUGUCGGGUAAGUUCCGACCUGCACGAAUGGCGUAAUGAUGGCCAGGCUGUCUCCACCCGAGACUCAGUGAAAUUGAACUCGCUGUGAAGAUGCAGUGUACCCGCGGCAAGACGGAAAGACCCCGUGAACCUUUACUAUAGCUUGACACUGAACAUUAAGCCUUGAUGUGUAGGAUAGGUGGGAGGCUUUGAAGUGUGGACGCCAGUCUGCAUGGAGCCGACCUUGAAAUACCACCCUUUAAUGUUUGAUGUUCUAACGUGGGCCCCUUACCGGGGUUGCGGACAGUGUCUGGUGGGUAGUUUGACUGGGGCGGUCUCCUCCUAAAGAGUAACGGAGGAGCACGAAGGUUGGCUAAUCCUGGUCGGACAUCAGGAGGUUAGUGCAAUGGCAUAAGCCAGCUUGACUGCGAGCGUGACGGCGCGAGCAGGUGCGAAAGCAGGUCAUAGUGAUCCGGUGGUUCUGAAUGGAAGGGCCAUCGCUCAACGGAUAAAAGGUACUCCGGGGAUAACAGGCUGAUACCGCCCAAGAGUUCAUAUCGACGGCGGUGUUUGGCACCUCGAUGUCGGCUCAUCACAUCCUGGGGCUGAAGUAGGUCCCAAGGGUAUGGCUGUUCGCCAUUUAAAGUGGUACGCGAGCUGGGUUUAGAACGUCGUGAGACAGUUCGGUCCCUAUCUGCCGUGGGCGCUGGAGAACUGAGGGGGGCUGCUCCUAGUACGAGAGGACCGGAGUGGACGCAUCACUGGUGUUCGGGUUGUCAUGCCAAUGGCACUGCCCGGUAGCUAAAUGCGGAAGAGAUAAGUGCUGAAAGCAUCUAAGCACGAAACUUGCCCCGAGAUGAGUUCUCCCUGACUCCUUGAGAGUCCUGAAGGAACGUUGAAGACGACGACGUUGAUAGGCCGGGUGUGUAAGCGCAGCGAUGCGUUGAGCUAACCGGUACUAAUGAACCGUGAGGCUUAACCUUACAACGCCGAAG
Molecule: ribosomal RNA, 2924 nt
Filed under: Escherichia coli
Lineage: Bacteria; Pseudomonadati; Pseudomonadota; Gammaproteobacteria; Enterobacterales; Enterobacteriaceae
Description: bacterial LSU rRNA
Rfam family: Bacterial large subunit ribosomal RNA
Source: RNAcentral